CACCCGCUAGCCACAACCCCUCCCCUAACCUCCCCCGAUCCCAUCUGGCCCCUCGCCCCGAUGUGCAUCGCCGCCGCAGCCUCCCUCCCUGCCCCGAUGUGCAUCGCCGCCGCAGCCUCCCUCCCUGCCCCGUGCCGCCACCGGGCCCCGGCCACCUCCCGCGCCGCUGCCGGGCCCCGGCCACCUCGCCCGCCGCCGGCUGGCCCCGGCCACCUACAACGCCGCCAUCUGGCCCCUCCCCUGCCGUAAUCCAGCCCGAGCGAGCCCAUCACCGAUUGCUUCUUGCCCCGCGGCGGAGCGCCGCCGCACACCCACCCACAACUACAACUCCCCCGCCCCGCCCACAUCGACCACACACGGUGCUCGGUCAUGGGGACAACUGAGCGGAGCUCGAGCUCUGGCUCCUCUCUCCUCUUGCGCGCCACCGGCCAUUGCACCUCGCCGCGGUACACUCGGCCAAGGGGGCAACCAAGCGGCGCCUGAGCUCCGGCUCCUUUCUCCUGUUGCACGGGCACCAGCCCUUGCCGCACGCCUUGGUGCACAUCCGCGCCCAUUGGCCCCUCUCUGCUGGCCCGCCAGCCACUACGGCGGCGCUCCGGCGACCUCUCCACUCCUGUCUGCGUGUUGCGGCAUGGACGAACACCUCCUCCCUUCUAAUGGCAAAAAUGGGGAAAGGAGCAGCUUCAGUUUAAAAAAUGCGGCAGCUUCAGUUCAGUUUGUAAGAAAGGAGCAAAAAAGAAAGGUUGCUGGGCUCGUUUGUGCACUAUGUGCAUAAAAAUGGGGAAAGUUAAACUUCAUUAUUAUUGCUUGCUCCUCCAGUGGCCGGAUCUCGCCACCAUGACCACUCAACUCGUGUUGUCGGCGACCUGCCAAAGCCUAAGCGACGACCUGUCCGAGGCCUAAGCAUGAACUUCAUGCUUGAAUCUUCUCCAAAUUGAUAUUGCCUGCAACGGGGAGGGGCAAGCCUGUAGUCCAGCACUAUGAAGGGAGGAACUGCUUCUACUUCUCUUCUGAAAUCUCAAUGCCAUGUCUUGAUUUUCAGAGGUAGUUUUUGGUUUGUACCAACCAUUUAAGAUGGUAUCUCAUCUGAAUGUGGUAUGCAUGCAGGCCAGCGUUCUCAAGUGGCAGAGCGGAGCCGUUUGCCUAGCGGGUCGAGCAGGAGUUCAAUGUAUAUUACACAAGAAGAAAAAACAAACACUAGGUUGCAGAUGUUGUGUUUUGUGAUUGUCGUAGGCUGACAGCCAAGACGACGUCCUCCACAUUUCCUACCAGCUCCGCCCAAUCCCAGCACCGGCGCGACCCCAGUACGGCGCCUGAUUCCGCCAUCCCGCAUCCGCCUGCAUACGCCAGUGUGCCACCACUAACGACCUGCCCGACCCCCCUGGCCUCCUACAAACUGCUGCUGCUCCCUGUACUUUUUUGGAUGAAGUUAGCACCACUCGACCGAGAAACACGAUGACAGUGACACGCUGGGCGAAAUCGGAGAGAAGGCAAGGACGAGGCGGAGGAGUUCCUGAAGAUGGCCAAGGAGAAGACUGACGACGUUGCCGAGGGCGCAAAGGAGACAGUGCAGGAGACCAAGGAGGUGGUGCUCGGCGAGUCCGACGAUGACAUGGACAAGUUCAAGCAGCGGGUCGAGCAGGGGAGCUACGAUCAGAAAUAAGUGAGAGGGAGGUGUUCCCUUGGUGUAUGUUCGCGCGCAGUCAUGGCCUGCCCAAAGCCAUUAGCUCUGCAAUUUGUAUGUCAACCACUAGGCUUGGUAUCUGUAUGUGUAAUGUGAUCUUGGUACUAUACAACUUGCCACUUCCCGCAGAAUAAGUAAUAUUGAGCUUCUGAAUGUUUUUUC
Molecule: long non-coding RNA, 1846 nt
Organism: Triticum aestivum (bread wheat)
Lineage: Eukaryota; Viridiplantae; Streptophyta; Magnoliopsida; Poales; Poaceae
Exons: 3
Source: RefSeq, a predicted model, not a curated record